UUCAUAUUCACAACAUUGCAGUCUGCUGUCAAGGCUCUUUAGUAGUGUUUGUAGUAGAUGUGUACCAAACUGAAACCGCAUUUUUAGUCAUCAAAUAACCCAAGACAAAUAGUACUCCUGGAAAGAGUAGAACAUUGAAAGCCCAAAUGAAAAGAAUGUCGUGGACAUUUCGAGUGCCUUUUCAAAACAUAAAGAAUUUCGUUGUUUCACGACCCCCUGCAGUAAUAUUUGCAUUUUGCAUCGCUUCGUUUAGUAUACUUACCCUCUGUUUGUCACUAUACAUCAAACAUACAUCAUCACCACU
This is a long non-coding RNA of Daphnia carinata, 304 nucleotides long. RefSeq lists it as uncharacterized. NCBI's taxonomy places the organism in Eukaryota, Metazoa, Arthropoda, Branchiopoda, Diplostraca, Daphniidae. The record is from RefSeq and is a predicted model, not a curated record. The transcript has 2 exons.